This 874-nucleotide long non-coding RNA is filed under the name Homo sapiens (human). Its description in RNAcentral is "testis expressed 41". The record is from RNAcentral. Lineage: Eukaryota; Metazoa; Chordata; Mammalia; Primates; Hominidae.
AAAUAUGUCCAAACAGCCAGAGGGGAAGUGAAUGACCAACUGGGUAGGCUGAUGAAUAUUUUCCUGGUAAAUGCAUAACUUUCCCCACAACUGUGAUGCUUUAUCCUUUGACAUUAAGAAUGCUGUUUGCAGAAGUAACAUUCCUUUGAACACUCAGCUUUCUGAAAUGGUGUCCCACCGCAAGGACUGGAGAAGGGCACCCUUGGAAAUGCAAUGCUACAUCUCAAUGGGAUUUUCCAGUACAAAGAUUCUUUUCAAAUAACAUAAUUGUGGAUACACACCACUCCUACAGUGGUAAACCUCAGGUUCUCCUCCUGCCUUUUGCUAAGUAUAUGUCUUGAUGACAAGCCUUCUGCUGAUGAGCUGUGUUUCUGGACCGAUCAUGGUAGAAGUCAAUUAACGUGUCCCUCACUUGGGGUUUCUCAAGGCUGCACUGAUGAGGAAACUGAAACAGAAAAUCCAGAGUAAAUUCCACCAGGCCACACAGCAAGGUCUGAUAGAGCCAGGAGAGACUUUAUGAAAUCCAGACUCUCACACUAAUGCUCUAUCAGCUAGACCUCCAUGUGAGUCUCCCCAAUGUAGGUAGGAAGUGCUUUCCCUAAAAUGCUCAUAAAGCAAAUCAGAGCAAUGCUGCAUUCCAUGUGAUUUCUAAUUUGAAAUGCAAACAAUUGCCAAUUUGUUUGACUUGUAUUUAUAAUUAUUUCCUUGUGAAUUACUCAUCACUAAAUGCUUUAUAAAUAUUUUCUCUUUUUUUCCUCAAUGUCUAUGGAAUGAUCACAGCAUAGAAAAUGUUGGCUUUCAAGGAUUUAUUAAUAUCUCCUUUUGAAAUAACAUGUAUUUGUAAGACAGAAUAAAAUCACUUUAAAGAAACAAA